RNAcentral lists this ribosomal RNA (253 nucleotides) under uncultured bacterium. RNAcentral describes it as "partial 16S ribosomal RNA". It matches the Rfam family "Bacterial small subunit ribosomal RNA", at positions 524 to 776 of the family's 1533-position model. The record is from RNAcentral.
UACGUAGGGUGCGAGCGGUAAUCGGAAUUACUGGGCGUAAAGCGUGCGCAGGCGGCUUUGUAAGACAGAUGUGAAAUCCCCGGGCUUAACCUGGGAACUGCGUUUGUGACUGCAAGGCUGGAGUGCGGCAGAGGGGGGUGGAAUUCCACGUGUAGCAGUGAAAUGCGUAGAGAUGUGGAGGAACACCGAUGGCGAAGGCAGCCCCCUGGGUUGACACUGACGCUCAUGCACGAAAGCGUGGGGAGCAAACAGG